Molecule: non-coding RNA, 44 nt
Organism: Schistosoma rodhaini
Lineage: Eukaryota; Metazoa; Platyhelminthes; Trematoda; Strigeidida; Schistosomatidae
Source: Rfam
AUCCAGCUAACGAGUCCCAAUUAGGACGAAACCACGUCCUGGAU